Molecule: ribosomal RNA, 497 nt
Filed under: uncultured bacterium
Lineage: Bacteria
Description: partial 16S ribosomal RNA
Rfam family: Bacterial small subunit ribosomal RNA
Source: RNAcentral
GAUGAACGCUGGCGGCGUGCCUAAUACAUGCAAGUCGAGCGAACAGACGAGGAGCUUGCUCCUCUGACGUUAGCGGCGGACGGGUGAGUAACACGUGGAUAACCUACCUAUAAGACUGGGAUAACUUCGGGAAACCGGAGCUAAUACCGGAUAAUAUAUUGAACCGCAUGGUUCAAUAGUGAAAGACGGUUUUGCUGUCACUUAUAGAUGGAUCCGCGCCGCAUUAGCUAGUUGGUAAGGUAACGGCUUACCAAGGCAACGAUGCGUAGCCGACCGGAGAGGGGGAUCGGCCACACUGGAACUGAGACACGGUCCAGACUCCUACGGGAGGCAGCAGUAGGGAAUCUUCCGCAAUGGGCGAAAGCUUGACGGAGCAACGCCGCGUGAGUGAUGAAGGUCUUCGGAUCGUAAAACUCUGUUAUUAGGGAAGAACAAAUGUGUAAGUAACUAUGCACGUCUUGACGGUACCUAAUCAGAAAGCCACGGCUAACUACGUG